UUAUUAAUAGUUAUGACCUUUAAAGUUAAAAAAUUUGGCGGUAUUUUAGUCUGUUCAGAGGAACCUGUCUUUUAAUCGAUAGUCCACGAUUAGUUUAACUUUAGUUUAUUAAUUUAUAUAUCGUUGUUUUUAAAGAUUUUAGGAGAAUUUAAAUUUUUGAUAUAUUCUAUUAUAUUUUAUUUCAGAUCAAGGUGUAGUUUAUACUAGAGAUUUGAUGGGUUACAUUGUUUUUAGGCGUGGUUUUUAAUUUUAUAAGUUAGGAUAAAUUGGAUUUGAUAGUAAAUAUUAUGUUUAUGUAUUUUGAUUUAGCUCUAAAAUAUGCACACAUCGCC
This 332-nucleotide ribosomal RNA is filed under the name Strongylium sp. 3 GJK-2017. Its description in RNAcentral is "partial 12S ribosomal RNA". The record is from RNAcentral. Lineage: Eukaryota; Metazoa; Arthropoda; Insecta; Coleoptera; Tenebrionidae.